UGGGGGAUAUUGCACAAUGGGCGAAAGCCUGAUGCAGCGACGCCGCGUGGGGGAUGAAGGCUUUCGGGUUGUAAACCUCUUUCGCUAUCGAACAAGGCCCGCUUAGGGUGGGUUGAGGGUAGGUGGAGAAGAAGCGCCGUCUAACUACGUGCCAGCAGCCGCGGUAAUACGUAGGGCGCGAGCGUUGUCCGGAAUUAUUGGGCGUAAAGGGCUUGUAGGCGGCUUGUUGCGCCUGCUGUGAAAACGCGGGGCUUAACUUCGCGCGUGCAGUGGGUACGGGCAGGCUUGAGUGUGGUAGGGGUGACUGGAAUUCCAGGUGUAGCGGUGGAAUGCGCAGAUAUCUGGAGGAACACCGAUGGCGAAGGCAGGUCACUGGGCCAUUACUGACGCUGAGGAGCGAAAGCAUGGGUAGCGAACAGG
RNAcentral lists this ribosomal RNA (420 nucleotides) under bacterium. RNAcentral describes it as "partial 16S ribosomal RNA". It matches the Rfam family "Bacterial small subunit ribosomal RNA", at positions 355 to 776 of the family's 1533-position model. The record is from RNAcentral.